UGGGGAAUAUUGGACAAUGGGCGCAAGCCUGAUCCAGCCAUGCCGCGUGAGUGAUGAAGGCUCUAGGGUUGUAAAGCUCUUUCACCGGUGAAGAUAAUGACGGUAACCGGAGAAGAAGCCCCGGCUAACUUCGUGCCAGCAGCCGCGGUAAUACGAAGGGGGCUAGCGUUGUUCGGAUUUACUGGGCGUAAAGCGCACGUAGGCGGACUUUUAAGUCAGGGGUGAAAUCCCCGGGCUCAACCCCGGAACUGCCUUUGAUACUGGAAGUCUUGAGUAUGGUAGAGGUGAGUGGAAUUCCGAGUGUAGAGGUGAAAUACGUAGAUAUUCGGAGGAACACCAGUGGCGAAGGCGGCUCACUGGACCCUUACUGACGCUGAGGUGCGAAAGCGUGGGGAGCAAACAGG
RNAcentral lists this ribosomal RNA (404 nucleotides) under Actinomycetes bacterium. Its description in RNAcentral is "Actinobacteria bacterium partial 16S ribosomal RNA". It matches the Rfam family "Bacterial small subunit ribosomal RNA", at positions 355 to 776 of the family's 1533-position model. Lineage: Bacteria; Bacillati; Actinomycetota; Actinomycetes. The record is from RNAcentral.